UAGCAUAUCAAUAAGCGGAGGAAAAGAAACUAACAAGGAUUCCCCUAGUAACUGCGAGUGAAGCGGGAAGAGCUCAAAUUUUGAAUCUGGCGGUUCUGCCGUCCGAGUUGUAAUCUAGAGAAGCGUUUUCCGCGCUGGACCGUGUACAAGUCUCCUGGAAGGGAGCGUCGUAGAGGGUGAGAAUCCCGUCUUUGACACGGACCGCCAGUGCUAUGUGAUGCGCUCUCGACGAGUCGAGUUGUUUGGGAAUGCAGCUCAAAUUGGGUGGUAAACUCCAUCUAAAGCUAAAUACAGGCGAGAGACCGAUAGCGAACAAGUACCGUGAGGGAAAGAUGAAAAGAACUUUGGAAAGAGAGUUAAACAGUACGUGAAAUUGCUGAAAGGGAAACGCUUGAUGUCAGUCGCGUCGGCCGGGGAUCAACCUUGCUUAUCGCUGGGUGUACUUCCUGGUCGACGGGUCAGCAUCAGUUUCGGUCGCCGUACAAUGGCGGAGGGAACGUGGCACUCUUCGGGGUGUGUUAUAGCCUUUCGUCGUAUGCGGUGGUCGGGACUGAGGAACUCAGCAC
This 566-nucleotide ribosomal RNA is filed under the name Chalciporus sp. Its description in RNAcentral is "partial large subunit ribosomal RNA". It matches the Rfam family "Eukaryotic large subunit ribosomal RNA", at positions 36 to 603 of the family's 3401-position model. The record is from RNAcentral. Lineage: Eukaryota; Fungi; Basidiomycota; Agaricomycetes; Boletales; Boletaceae.